Molecule: ribosomal RNA, 1453 nt
Filed under: metagenome
Description: bacterial LSU rRNA
Rfam family: Bacterial large subunit ribosomal RNA
Source: RNAcentral
UUAUGGUCAGAACUGUGGGGACACGGGGUGUUAACGGAAGCCGGGAAAGGAAAGACCGGUCCAAGCACAGGAGGCGUUGCGCAGGCAAAUCCGCGCAAUAAGCCAAAGGUGUGACGGGGAGCGAAAUUAUAGUAGCGAAGUCCGGAUACAUGCUGUCAAGAAAAGCCGCUAUUGCGCCAUAUGUACCCGUACCGUAAACCGACACAGGUGGAUGAGGAGAGAAUCCUAAGGCCGGCGGGAGAAGUGUUGUUAAGGAACUCGGCAAAAUGGCCCCGUAACUUCGGGAGAAGGGGCGCCCAGAAAUGGGCCGCAGAGAAAAGGCUCAAGCAACUGUUUAGCAAAAACACAGGUCUAUGCGAAACCGAAAGGUGAGGUAUAUGGGCUGACGCCUGCCCGGUGCUGGAAGGUUAAGGGGAGAGGUUAGCCGCAAGGCGAAGCUUUGAACUUAAGCCCCAGUAAACGGCGGCCGUAACUAUAACGGUCCUAAGGUAGCGAAAUUCCUUGUCGGGUAAGUUCCGACCCGCACGAAAGGCGUAAUGAUUUGAGCACUGUCUCGACAACACACCCGGUGAAAUUGAAAUACCAGUGAAGAUGCUGGUUACCUGCGCCAGGACGGAAAGACCCCAUGGAGCUUUACUCUAGUUUGAUACUGGGACCCGGUAUGACAUGUACAGGAUAGGUGGGAGGCAGAGAAUUAAUGACGCCAGUCAUUAAGGAGCCGCUGUUGGGAUACCACCCUUGUGAUGCCAGGUUUCUAACGAGCUGCCGUGAACCGGCAGGCGGACAAUGUCAGGCGGGGAGUUUGACUGGGGCGGUCGCCUCCGAAAGGGUAUCGGAGGCGCUCAAAGGUUCCCUCAGAAUGGUUGGAAACCAUUCGGAGAGUGCAAAGGCAGAAGGGAGCCUGACUGCGACACCGACGGGUGGAGCAGGUACGAAAGUAGGACUUAGUGAUCCGGUGGUAUAAAGUGGGAUUGCCAUCGCUCAACGGAUAAAAGCUACCCUGGGAUAACAGGCUUAUCACUCCCAAGAGUUCACAUCGACGGAGUGGUUUGGCACCUCGAUGUCGGCUCAUCGCAUCCUGGGGCUGGAGUAGGUCCCAAGGGUUGGGCUGUUCGCCCAUUAAAGCGGUACGCGAGCUGGGUUCAGAACGUCGUGAGACAGUUCGGUCCCUAUCCGGCGCGGGCGUAAGAGAUUUGAGAGGAGCUGUCCUUAGUACGAGAGGACCGGGAUGGACGGACCACUGGUGUAUCUGUUGCACCACCAGGUGCUCGGCAGAGUAGCCAAGUCCGGACGGGAUAAACGCUGAAGGCAUCUAAGCGUGAAGCCCCCCUCAAGAUGAGAUCUCUCAUUCGAAAGAAGUAAGACCCCUUGAAGACGACGAGGUAGAUAGGGCAGGGGUGGAAGGGCAGUAAUGUCCGGAGCUGACUGUUACUAAUCGGUCGAGGGCUUGACC